This 29-nucleotide non-coding RNA is filed under the name Mus musculus (house mouse). Lineage: Eukaryota; Metazoa; Chordata; Mammalia; Rodentia; Muridae. The record is from RNAcentral.
UACAUGGGUGACAAGGAGGUCAGGUGUUA